RNAcentral lists this ribosomal RNA (489 nucleotides) under uncultured Hymenobacter sp. Its description in RNAcentral is "bacterial SSU rRNA". It matches the Rfam family "Bacterial small subunit ribosomal RNA", at positions 91 to 578 of the family's 1533-position model. The record is from RNAcentral. Lineage: Bacteria; Pseudomonadati; Bacteroidota; Cytophagia; Cytophagales; Hymenobacteraceae.
GAUAGUGGCGCACGGGUGCGUAACGCGUAACCAACCUACCCUUGACUGGGGGAUAGCCCGCCGAAAGGCGGAUUAAUACCGCAUAAAACUGCAGAACGGCAUCGUUUAACAGUUAAAGAUUUAUUGGUCAAGGAUGGGGUUGCGUGCCAUUAGCUAGUUGGGGGGGUAACGGCCCACCAAGGCGACGAUGGCUAGGGGAGCUGAGAGGCUGGUCCCCCACACGGGCACUGAGAUACGGGCCCGACUCCUACGGGAGGCAGCAGUAGGGAAUAUUGGGCAAUGGCCGAGAGGCUGACCCAGCCAUGCCGCGUGCAGGAUGAAGGCUUUCUGAGUCGUAAACUGCUUUUACCAGGGAAGAAAAAAGGGGAUGCGUCCCCUACUGACGGUACCUGGUGAAUAAGCACCGGCUAACUCCGUGCCAGCAGCCGCGGUAAUACGGAGGGUGCAAGCGUUGUCCGGAUUUAUUGGGUUUAAAGGGUGCGUAGGCGG